Molecule: ribosomal RNA, 468 nt
Filed under: uncultured bacterium
Lineage: Bacteria
Description: partial 16S ribosomal RNA
Rfam family: Bacterial small subunit ribosomal RNA
Source: RNAcentral
GACGAACGCUGGCGGCGUGCUUAACACAUGCAAGUCGAACGGAAAGGCCCUGCUUUUGUGGGGUGCUCGAGUGGCGAACGGGUGAGUAACACGUGAGUAACCUGCCCUUGACUUUGGGAUAACUUCAGGAAACUGGGGCUAAUACCGGAUCGGAGCUCCUGCUGCAUGGUGGGGGUUGGAAAGUUUCGGCGGUUGGGGAUGGACUCGCGGCUUAUCAGCUUGUUGGUGGGGGAGUGGCUUACCAAGGCUUUGACGGGUAGCCGGCCUGAGAGGGUGACCGGCCACAUUGGGACUGAGAUACGGCCCAGACUCCUACGGGAGGCAGCAGUGGCGAAUAUUGCACAAUGGGCGGAAGCCUGAUGCAGCAACGCCGCGUGCGGGAUGACGGCCUUCGGGUUGUAAACCGCUUUCGCCUGUGACGAAGCGUGAGUGACGGUAAUGGGUAAAGAAGCACCGGCUAACUACGUG